This 69-nucleotide transfer RNA is filed under the name Ictidomys tridecemlineatus (thirteen-lined ground squirrel). RNAcentral's name for it is "Spermophilus tridecemlineatus (thirteen-lined ground squirrel) tRNA". It matches the Rfam family "tRNA". From Rfam's summary of the family: Transfer RNA (tRNA) molecules are approximately 80 nucleotides in length. Their secondary structure includes four short double-helical elements and three loops (D, anti-codon, and T loops). The record is from Rfam by way of RNAcentral. Lineage: Eukaryota; Metazoa; Chordata; Mammalia; Rodentia; Sciuridae.
GGGCUUGUGGCUCAGUGAUAGAGUGCUCGCCUAGCAUGCGUGAGGCACUGGGUUCAAUCCUCAGCACCA